Molecule: ribosomal RNA, 484 nt
Filed under: uncultured bacterium
Lineage: Bacteria
Description: partial 16S ribosomal RNA
Rfam family: Bacterial small subunit ribosomal RNA
Source: RNAcentral
AUUGAACGCUGGCGGCAGGCCUAACACAUGCAAGUCGAGCGGUUGAAGGGAGCUUGCUCCUGGAUUCAGCGGCGGACGGGUGAGUAAUGCCUAGGAAUCUGCCUGUUAGUGGUGGAUAACGUCCGGAAACCGGCGCUAAUACCGCAUACGUCCUGAGGGAGAAAGUGGGGGAUCUUCGGACCUCACUCUAUCAGAUGAGCCUAGGUCGGAUUAGAUAGUUUGUGGGGUAAAGGCCUACCAAGGCGACGAUCCGUAAAUGGUCUGAGAGGAUGAUCAGUCACACUGGAACGGAGACACGGACAAGACUACUACGGGAGGGAGCAGAGGGGAAUGUUAGGCAGUGGUGGAGAGUAUGAUACAGCGAGGGCGAGUGUGAGAAGACGGUCUUCGGAUUGUAAAGAACUCUAAGUGGGUAGAAAGGGCAGUAAGUUAAUAACUUGCUAUUUUGACGGUACCAACAGAAUAAGCACCGGCUAACUACGUG